GCAGUCGUGGCUGAGCGUUUAAGGCGAUGGACUAGAAAUCCAUUGGGGUCUCCUCGCACAGGUUCAAAUCCUGUCGACUGCG
This 82-nucleotide transfer RNA is filed under the name Dermacentor silvarum. RNAcentral's name for it is "transfer RNA serine (anticodon AGA)". It matches the Rfam family "tRNA". From Rfam's summary of the family: Transfer RNA (tRNA) molecules are approximately 80 nucleotides in length. Their secondary structure includes four short double-helical elements and three loops (D, anti-codon, and T loops). Lineage: Eukaryota; Metazoa; Arthropoda; Arachnida; Ixodida; Ixodidae. The record is from RNAcentral.